RNAcentral lists this long non-coding RNA (383 nucleotides) under Gossypium raimondii (Peruvian cotton). RNAcentral describes it as "long non-coding RNA (GRAI_LNC008423)". Lineage: Eukaryota; Viridiplantae; Streptophyta; Magnoliopsida; Malvales; Malvaceae. The record is from RNAcentral.
UUGCGGCGUUGGGAGCCAAAGCUGCUGAAGGUUAGGGUUUUUAGAUUUUAGUUUUUAGGGCUUAGGUGUUUAUUUUCUCUGUUUUGGGCUGUGAGUAUUUGGGCUUGGUUUUUGGGUUUAGGCUAGUUGGGUUUGGGUUAAAGCUGCUUAGGCUAAUUGGGUUUAGGUUAAAGUUGUUUUUUUUUUGGAUAGUGGAUUUGAAGCCAUUAGGCCUGCUAUAAUGGACUGUGGACAUUUUAAGAUUUUGGGUUUAUUUUAUUUGGUUUAUUUUUGUUUAUUUAUUUCUAAUUUGGGCCAGGCAAAUUUGGGUUAUUACAGCUGCCCCUCUUUGCUCAUUGUCGUGUAACAGAAAUGAAGCAAAGACUAAAAAAUGGUCAAAAUUA